GUGGGGAAUAUUGGGCAAUGGGGGCAACCCUGACCCAGCAACGCCGCGUGGAGGAAGAAGGCUUUCGGGUUGUAAACUCCUUUGACGAGGGACGAUGAUGACGGUACCUCGAAAACAAGCCACGGCUAACUACGUGCCAGCAGCCGCGGUAAUACGUAGGUGGCAAGCGUUGUCCGGAUUUACUGGGUGUAAAGGGCGCGUAGGCGGGCAGGCAAGUCAGAUGUGAAAUCUCCGGGCUCAACCCGGAAAUUGCAUUUGAAACUGCAGGUCUUGAGUAUCGGAGAGGCAAGCGGAAUUCCUAGUGUAGCGGUGAAAUGCGUAGAUAUUAGGAGGAACACCAGUGGCGAAGGCGGCUUGCUGGACGACAACUGACGCUGAGGCGCGAAAGCGUGGGGAGCAAACAGG
Molecule: ribosomal RNA, 405 nt
Filed under: uncultured rumen bacterium
Lineage: Bacteria
Description: bacterial SSU rRNA
Rfam family: Bacterial small subunit ribosomal RNA
Source: RNAcentral